Molecule: long non-coding RNA, 2960 nt
Filed under: Homo sapiens (human)
Lineage: Eukaryota; Metazoa; Chordata; Mammalia; Primates; Hominidae
Description: HSALNT0337552
Source: RNAcentral
CUGCCUCAGCCUCUCAAAGUGCUGGGAUUACAGGCAUGAGCCACGGUGCCUGGGCUGACAAAUAUUUAUUAUUGAGUUUGUGGAACCCAGAAUGAUCUAGGGCCUCAGUGGCCACUGAACCCUGGGGCACACUUGAACAAAAAUAUGGGCUUCUCAGCCACUAUGCCUUGACAUCCUCUCUAAUCAGAAGUUUGUGUAAUAAGUGCAAAAGACAAUAUUCACAGUGACAAUGAUACUGUGAACUGCCAUAGGGAGAGUAGACAUGACUGUGGUGACAAUGCAGCGGCAGCAGGACCCUGUCCUCUCAUAAGUGGGCAUCCUUUCCCCAUGUGAACACCACAUAGCAGAAACGCCCAUCUUCCAAAGCCCUUUUAUCAUGUUAUGAAUUAUUUACACUUCCAUAUAUUUCAGUUAAAGAGUGGUAAUCAGAUCUGUAUGGAUGCCACUUGGGUCAUUUGUCAUUUCACUUGAAGGCAAAGAAAUGUUUUUAACUGGGAUAAGAUUAGCUGCCGAGGUGGAGCUGAUAUCUGAGCGAGGCUCUCGAGGACACAUUCUGGAUAGAUCUCCAUAUGGGAGUUGGAUGACUGCCACCAGCCAGUCUUGGCAGUCCCCAGAAUUCUUCUGAAGUGGACAGUGGAAGAAGUGAAACAUUUGCCUGGCAGCUGGCAUCAAUGCAGUCUCUCUCUGGACAUGCAGAAGAAAAGGUUCAAAAGGAACUGAACCCAAACCAGUCUUUAUUUGAUUUUAGAUGGAAUUAAAACAUUUUUGUGGGUCUCGACAAGUAUUGCCAGCACUGCACCUGCCACCCUGAUAGCAAACUCCAGUGGAAGUAACAGCAGAUCUUGCAAAUAGAGAAACAUCUGCCUCAGUUCUGAAGCAAGCAAGUGACCAUCCUCAUGCCACAAAAUAGAAGAACUUCUGCUAGAUCCAGAACUGUCACCCCUGGGUCGCAUGGAGGCCUUGAGGGUUGGGAUUCAAUCCUCAUUCCUGAGAAGGUGAGAAGCAUAGCAAGGAGGUCAGGGGAUCUGAGGGGCUUCAGUGAUGCCCCUUACUUGAGCUCUCUCUGAUCUCUCUUAACCAGGAGCUCUAGAACCCCAUUGUGAAUGUGGACAUUGUUAUGGAUGCAAAUGUCCACCUGUGCAGAGAAUUAGGCAAGACAGAGAGAGGUGUUUUUCUGGGAAGACUGUCUGAGCGAGCAACCACAAAGUUUCUGGUCAUGGUUCCUGCCCUGCCUCCCUCUCUACUUUGGAGCUCCUGUAACUCCAAGUGGAUAAUAUACGGUUUUGUUUUUGUCAUUGUUAUUGUUGAUGUUGCUUGUCUUUACUUUGUAAAAUAUGAACCUUUCAUCAUAUGAGUGAUUUUGGCAAAAUGCACCUCAGACAUUCAAAUACUUCCUAUUUAUUAAGCGCCUCCCACUGUGCAAUCCAUAUGCUAGGCACUGCAGAUGAUGUCUUAGUCUUUAUAACAACCUUGCAGGUUGGAUAGCAUUGUUCCCUUUUCAGAAAUGUGGGAACAUGCCCAAGGUUCAGGGUAUUCUAAGUGGGAGAAUUCAGAUCCAGCUCACUCAGAGGUCUCUGCUGGCCCAGGUCUGUCCAUUGUCUUCUAGUGUAAAUGAAGGCAGCUGCUCUGAAGGCAGGAGGACCAGGCUUAAUCUGAAACCUGUGAUCAUUGAAACAAGCAUGGCCUGCUCUGCACAGGGUUCAAAUGAAUAGGUCUCUAUUUUCUCCUUUCUACAUAAUCACUCAAAUAAGAUAGGGACUAGAGUCAGGCAAGUGAGACUCUCAUCCCAGGAAGAAAAUAGAAGGGAGCACAAAAAAACUCAGUAAUCAAGAUAAAUAAUAACUUUAAUACAAUACAGUGUUUUAAAAAAUCAAGUCCUCAAACUAUAGCUGUCUGCCUAGCUAUUUUUAAACAUAAAGCUUUACCAAGGCUGGGAUGAGGCUUGAGCAAAUGAGGCCAGUUGUACAAGUUCAGUGUCAGAUCCUAUUUAAAGUUUUGAUAUUUUGUUCAUCAUGUUUAUUUUUUUCAUUAAUUCUAUCUGAAGCACCCACCCACCUUCUCAGCAGAUAUCUCCCUCUGGGGCUACCCUUUCCACAUGAGUUAUAGGGACCUGUGAUGUGCAAAAGGAAGUUACACAACUUCUCUUCAUGAUUUCUGUCUUUUGGGCACAAAAUUCUGACUUUUGAAGAAUACAGUUGCAUAAUCACCACCACAAUCAAGAUAUACAACAGUUCCAUUAUCCUAAAUAGUCAUCCCAUCCUCCACUCCCAAUAACUGGCAACUACCGGUCUGUUUUUCUGUCCCUAUAGUUUUGCCUUUUCCAGAAUGUCAUUUACAUGGAACAAUAUAGUAUGAAGCCUCUUGAGCCUGGCUCCUUUCAUUUAGUAUAAGUAUCUGAGAGUCUUCCAUGUUGUGUGUAGCAGUAGUUCCUAUCUUUGUAUUGCUGGCUAGUAUUCCAUUGUUGGAUGUACUUAUUUGGGUUGUUUUCAGCUUGGGGAGGCUAUGAAUAAACCACUGUAAACACUUGCUUUCAGAGUUUUACAUGCAUAUAAGUUUUCAUUUACUUUGGGUAAAUACCUAUGAGUGGGUUUAUUGGAUCAUUUGAUAUGUCUACUUUUCACUUUCUAAGAAACUGCCAGACUAGUUUCCAAAGGGGCCCUUUUGCAUUCCCACCAGCAAUUGACUUUAGUUUUUGAGGGUGGGACUAAGGAGGACCCAAUCCCCAGGUGUGUUGACAUCCCUACCUCCCAACUGUGAAUGGGGUCAAGACCUCUGGCAUCUUAGUGACGGGCACCUUAGCACUCCCCAGCAAUCUCUGAGGAGUGAGGACAUGGAAGGAGGGAUUUCUGGGUUGUCUUGGAGAUCUACUCAAAGGACGUUGUGAAACCUAGGUGUUCAACAACAAAUAAAUAGAUAAAGAAAAUGCGGUGUAUAUAUACCAUGGAAUACUAUUCAGCCAU